UAGAGUUUGAUCCUGGCUCAGAACGAACGCUGGCGGCAUGCCUAACACAUGCAAGUCGAACGAGCCCUUCGGGGUUAGUGGCGCACGGGUGCGUAACGCGUGGGAAUCUGCCCCUUGGUUCGGAAUAACAGCUAGAAAUGGCUGCUAAUACCGGAUGACGACGUAAGUCCAAAGAUUUAUCGCCGAGGGAUGAGCCCGCGUAGGAUUAGCUAGUUGGUGGGGUAAAGGCCUACCAAGGCGACGAUCCUUAGCUGGUCUGAGAGGAUGAUCAGCCACACUGGGACUGAGACACGGCCCAGACUCCUACGGGAGGCAGCAGUGGGGAAUAUUGGACAAUGGGCGAAAGCCUGAUCCAGCAAUGCCGCGUGAGUGAUGAAGGCCUUAGGGUUGUAAAGCUCUUUUACCCGGGAUGAUAAUGACAGUACCGGGAGAAUAAGCCCCGGCUAACUCCGUGCCAGCAGCCGCGGUAAUACGGAGGGGGCUAGCGUUGUUCGGAAUUACUGGGCGUAAAGCGCACGUAGGCGGCUUUGUAAGUUAGAGGUGAAAGCCUGGAGCUUAACUCCAGAAUUGCCUUUAAGACUGCAUCGCUUGAAUCCGAGAGAGGUGAGUGGAAUUCCGAGUGUAGAGGUGAAAUUCGUAGAUAUUCGGAAGAACACCAGUGGCGAAGGCGGCUCACUGGCUCGGUAUUGACGCUGAGGUGCGAAAGCGUGGGWGAGCAAACAGGAUUAGAUACCCUGGUAGUCAAUCC
This 748-nucleotide ribosomal RNA is filed under the name uncultured bacterium. RNAcentral describes it as "bacterial SSU rRNA". It matches the Rfam family "Bacterial small subunit ribosomal RNA", at positions 1 to 800 of the family's 1533-position model. The record is from RNAcentral.